CGAACGGGUUCAGAGCUGGAGCGCAGGAAAGGGGGAAAAAAAAAGUGUUACGUGAGAGGAUUCGGGCGUGAGAGAGGAAACCCCGCGUCCACAUUACCUUGCUCCUCGAUGUCAGAAAGUACUUUGGCCAGAUUCCUGACGUAGUCUCUGGAGAUGGAAGCCGAACUGACGGGAUGAUCCCACAUUUGUACCAGGUGGGAGCGGCAUGCAGAGACCCCCGGUGGCUUCCAGGAUCCGAAGCAUGAAGUGAAACGCAGCCCACUCGCCCGGACCGGCUGGCUGCGUGCUGGAGCCAGAGAAAUUCAGACAUGGGAGGCGUCGCGAAAGCACACGCAUGCCGAUUUAUAUUCAAGCCUAUGAGCAGCCUCUGGUGGUGAUCCUCCUCUUGGAAAAGUGGCACCAGCUUCCUGUCUGGAGGCGACGAGAGAAACGUUGGGAUGGAAAAAAAAUGGCACACUUCUGGAGUCUAAGGUAGGGGCCUGUACAAUUCUGCUCAUGAACCGGUCAUU
This is a long non-coding RNA of Hippocampus zosterae (dwarf seahorse), 509 nucleotides long. RefSeq lists it as uncharacterized. The transcript is spliced from 4 exons. The record is from RefSeq and is a predicted model, not a curated record. Lineage: Eukaryota; Metazoa; Chordata; Actinopteri; Syngnathiformes; Syngnathidae.